CUACGGGGUGCUGCAGUGAGGAAUAUUGCACAAUGGGGGAAACCCUGACGCAGCAACGCCGCGUGGAGGAUGACGCAUUUCGGUGUGUAAACUCCUUUUAUGAGUCAAGAAAAUGACGGUAGCUCAUGAAUAAGCACCGGCUAACUCCGUAGCCAGCAGCCGCGGUAAUACGGAGGGUGCAAGCGUUACUCGGAAUCACUGGGCGUAAAGGACGCGUAGGCGGGAUGUCAAGUCAGGUGUGAAAUCCUAUGGCUCAACCAUAGAACUGCACUUGAAACUGGCAACCUAGAGGAUGGGAGGGGGAGAUGGAAUUAGUGGGGUAGGGGUAAAAUCCGUAGAUAUCACCAGGAAUACCGAAAGCGAAGGGGAACCCCUGGAACAUUACUGACGCUAAGGCGUGAAAGCGUGGGGAGCAAACAGGAUUAGAUACCCCCGUAGUC
Molecule: ribosomal RNA, 440 nt
Filed under: uncultured bacterium
Lineage: Bacteria
Description: partial 16S ribosomal RNA
Rfam family: Bacterial small subunit ribosomal RNA
Source: RNAcentral